RNAcentral lists this ribosomal RNA (960 nucleotides) under Cantharellus enelensis. Its description in RNAcentral is "eukaryotic LSU rRNA". It matches the Rfam family "Eukaryotic large subunit ribosomal RNA", at positions 1 to 980 of the family's 3401-position model. The record is from RNAcentral. Lineage: Eukaryota; Fungi; Basidiomycota; Agaricomycetes; Cantharellales; Hydnaceae.
CAGGUCAGAGAAGACUACCCGCUGGACUUAAGCAUAUCACUAAGCGGAGGAAAAGAAACUAACUAGGAUUCCCCCAGUAACUGCGAGUGAAGAGGGAAGAGCUCAUCAUUGGAAUCUGGCAGUGUUACACUGUCCGAGUUGUAGAUGAGGAGUAGUCCGUCUGGACUGCAUGGCGUCCAAGUACAAUAGGCCGUCAGUGGGACAUCAUAGAGGGUGACAAUCCCGUCCUUGACGCCAAUGUGCAAGUCUAUUACGAUGGCUAUCUCAGAGAGUCGAGCAGUUUGGGAUUUGCUGCUUAAACAUGGGAGGUAGAUUCCUUCUAAAGCUAAAUACAGGCGAGAGACCGAUAGAGAACAAGUACCGCAAGGGAAAGAUGAAAUAGCACUCUGUGAAGGGAGUCAAAAGGCGUGAAAUUGUUGCGAGAGAAGCGAUUCAAGUCAGCGUAGCUAGGCCCAUCAAGCGUCUUCGCUUUGGACUAGCUUUGCCAGCGGUCUUGUCCCUUAAAGAGACUUGACUUGUAAUAUGUCCAGCCUGGCGUGCACAGGCAGCCCCUUCUGGGGGCCAGUGGCAUGGCUGGUGGAAUGGCUUGCAAUCGACCCGUCUUGAAACACGGACCAAGGAGUCUAACAUGUAUGCGAGUAUAAGGGUGGCAAACCCGUAUGCGCAAUGAAAGUGAUUUUCGGUGAUUGAGAAUGGCCUGAUGACCAGACAAGCAAUAUAUGUCCCUCGUACGGCCAUUGCCCAAGUUCCGUGGUAGAUCCCACGAACAUGGAGUUGGAGCAUACAUGCUAGGACCCGAAAGAUGGUGAACUAUGCCUGGACAAAGCGAAGCCAAAGGAAACUCUGGUGGAGGCUUGUAGCGAUUCUGACGUGCAAAUCGAUCGUCUGAUCUGGGUAUAGGGGCGAAAGACUAAUCGAACCAUCUCAUAGCUGGUUCCUGCCGAAGUUUCCCUCAGGAUA